Long non-coding RNA from Diachasma alloeum, 358 nucleotides. RefSeq lists it as uncharacterized. The record is from RefSeq and is a predicted model, not a curated record. Lineage: Eukaryota; Metazoa; Arthropoda; Insecta; Hymenoptera; Braconidae. The transcript has 2 exons.
CAUACAAACAUCAUCAGUUCGAAUAAAUUUUUGAACACUCUACAAUUUCAAUUGUAAAACUGAGUCAUGUCACUCUUGAAAAUUUCGUUCUUCGUGAUGGCUGCUGUCGUCGCAUGUAUUUCCUCCACCGAGGGAGCACCUGCGCCUAUGAACGGGCAAGGGUGUCCACCUGACUGGAAACUUUUCUUCUGUUGAGACCACUGGAGUUACAGGACAGCCGGAAAAAUAGGACUGGUCUACUUUAUCAACCGUCGCAACUUUUAUUCUUCAAUUUCCAAAAUCAAUUAUUCAAAAUUGUUUAUGUAACACUGUUGAUAAAUUCUGUAGAUGAAUUCGAAUAAAAAAUUAUAUACUCUCA